Glossina austeni is the source of this 47-nucleotide non-coding RNA. Lineage: Eukaryota; Metazoa; Arthropoda; Insecta; Diptera; Glossinidae. The record is from Rfam.
AAAUCGGCCCUCCUAAGGGCCACCUAAUCAAUUUUUCUUAAAAGAGG